This 254-nucleotide ribosomal RNA is filed under the name uncultured bacterium. RNAcentral describes it as "partial 16S ribosomal RNA". It matches the Rfam family "Bacterial small subunit ribosomal RNA", at positions 524 to 776 of the family's 1533-position model. The record is from RNAcentral.
UACGUAGGGUGCAAGCGUUAAUCGGAAUUACUGGGCGUAAAGCGUGCGCAGGCGGUUAUGUAAGUCAGUGGUGAAAUCUCCGUGCUUAACAUGGAAACUGCCAUUGAUACUAUGUUUCUUGAAUUUUCUGGAGGUCAGCGGAAUAUGUCAUGUAGCGGUGAAAUGCUUAGAUAUGACAUAGAACACCAAUUGCGAAGGCAGCUGACUACAGGGAUAUUGACACUGAGGCACGAAAGCGUGGGGGAUCAAACAGG